UCCCUGGUGGCUCAAACGGUAAAGCGUCUGUCUGCAAUACAGGGAAUCCAGGUUUGAUCCCUGGGUUGGGAA
This 72-nucleotide transfer RNA is filed under the name Ovis aries (sheep). It matches the Rfam family "tRNA". Rfam says of the family: Transfer RNA (tRNA) molecules are approximately 80 nucleotides in length. Their secondary structure includes four short double-helical elements and three loops (D, anti-codon, and T loops). The record is from Rfam by way of RNAcentral. Lineage: Eukaryota; Metazoa; Chordata; Mammalia; Artiodactyla; Bovidae.